AAUUUAAAUUUUAUCAAGAAUAAAUUUUGUUUACACACACUCUAACAUUUCCAGAAUACCAGAAUAAGAAAGGACCUGUGUGCACAUGGAGGAGCUCUUGAAGAAUUGGCAGCAAGAUUAAAGGGAAGGGAUUCAUAAAGAGAACGUGAACAGGGAUGCAUGUACACAAACUGUGCUUCGGUGAAAGAGAAUAACCAAUUGAGUCACUUGUCAACAAAGAAGAUUGUAAGAAGGCAUGUCUUCAAUCCGCAGAACAUCAUCCAUCAGCAACUCUCUCUCUAGCUGAACUCGCGUGGAUUUCAGUACAUCCUGCAAUAAUAAUAGAAACCCCUUUGAAUAUAAUCUACACAGGUUAUGUAUCAUACUGAUAACACAUUGCAUUUUACUGUUAACUAUUCAAAAACUAUGCUUUCUUUUAUAGAUUAACAAGUGCAUGAUGGAGUCUUACAUUAAAUUCCAUGUAUGUAGCAUUUUUCUCCUGCCAUUGUUUGUCCAUGACAACGAAUGCCACGCAAUAAAGCAGAUCAAAUGCCCAUUCAUUCUCUGCAAAUGUAUGAUAACAGUUUGAACUUUGAGAAAAACUGCUCUUACAAAAGUCCUUGGUUUGGCUGCAAGUGAAGAAACAGUUUGGUAUUAGAGAUAUUGUUGUAAUUAAGAUGGCAAUUUCUGUUUAGUUUAGUUUUCUUGGAGACUUAGGCCACAAGACUCGUGUAACUCUAACUGGGUGAGUGUUACUAUAACAAGUUAAGAACUACAUCUAGGUUCAAAAUAGUUUUGAUGACGUACUGGCAUCAAGGUCCAGCAUUUGCAUAAUCAUAAAUGUGAUAUUAACGCCAGCAACAGCAAAGGGAUACUCCCAAACAGCUUCUUUUCCUCCUUGCCCCUUCAAUAGGCGCUGAAAAGAAGUCUGCAACAUGUAGAGGGACAUAAGAGCAUAAGCAAAUAAAUCAAUUUUUGGCAGAAGUUGGGCAAAAACACUUGCAUGAUGCGGAGUAUUUGUUAAUUUGGGAGUCUGAGAUUGAAAUGGUGUCACCAAGAGAUAGUUCAGAAUCUUACUGAGAAUGUCUUUGCAAAGAAAAGUAGGUUCUCCAAUGAAAUGAAACCAGCUCCUCUGUUCACAAAAUUGGUCCAAAAGAAAUGAACAUGUCAAGAGCAGAAACAGCAGAGAAAAAUUAAAAGAGGGUGAUAACUUGACAAACACAAAUAUAACCUGAAAUCAGUGGACGGAUCUCUACCCUGCCAUCCCAUUUCUUUCCAUUGAUCAGAAAUCAAGCUUUGAAGCUCCUGUCCAGGGAAUGAAGCAGACCACAGAGCUCUCAACGCUUCCUGUUCUUGAAAGAAAUUCCGGAUGAGUAUCUUGCAGAAGAAGGCUAAAAAUAUGUGAAUAGAGAAAAUAGGAUUGCAGCAAGUUCUUCAAGCAAUCAAUGCUUACACCAAUACAGAGGAGAAUAAUACAACUACGUUAUACCUGGUGAUCAAGCCUGGAACCAUCAAAUCUUUGAGAAGUGUACGAAAAGGGACAAUAUGCAAACAGUUCAACUUCUUGAACUCACACAGAAACACAAUUUGAGGCAGUGCAUGACCAAAUCAAAUGCACUAAUCAAUAAGGCAGAGAUGUGGCAGAAUGUUGUGUUUUGGGUGGAACCAAACCGUAUAACUUUGGAGGGGACAUAAUCGAUGGGAGUUGCGUAUGGCGAAGAAGGAAGAGUGGUAAUUGGAACAGUGCAAAUUGUCGUGUUUUGCCCCGACCAAGAAAAAAGCAAAAUGACUUAGACAAACCGUGAGCUGUGAUGUUGGGCCUACAGGGCCCUAUACGACCACGUGGGAAGAUCAAGAUUCAUUACAUAGUCAUACAUUUUAUUAUCCUUUCCAUGUGACCAAUAAAAUAACUCAUUUUUUGUUUUCCUUUUGUCUUUGGCCUAUACUGUUUUUUUAUUUUCUGUGUUUGUAUUCGUGACCGGUUAUUAGUUCAGUUCUUUUGGUUUGGUAACUUCCCACCCCCACCAUUCCCACUAUCUUGUUUGUUACAUCAGACCAGACCUCACUCACUGUAACAACUAACAACUCCAUAGCAAUCUUAAUUCCUAUCCUAUGUAGUUUGGUUUAACUAGUUUCACACAUGUUCCCCUCUCAGUGGACCCUCACGAUUGUUGACGUGACGAAACAAACAAACCGUGUCCUCUUCAAAACACCGAAUUCGACUCAGAUUUUCAU
Molecule: long non-coding RNA, 2214 nt
Organism: Vigna unguiculata (cowpea)
Lineage: Eukaryota; Viridiplantae; Streptophyta; Magnoliopsida; Fabales; Fabaceae
Source: RefSeq, a predicted model, not a curated record